Long non-coding RNA from Prunus persica (peach), 1183 nucleotides. RefSeq lists it as uncharacterized. The record is from RefSeq and is a predicted model, not a curated record. The transcript is spliced from 2 exons. Lineage: Eukaryota; Viridiplantae; Streptophyta; Magnoliopsida; Rosales; Rosaceae.
CCAGUUUUUCUUGGUUGAAGGAUGUUUCACACCUCAAAUGUUAUGUAUGAGUCAUGACACGGAGGAAGAUUCUAACUUUAAACCUUUUCCAAGACCCACUACUGCACUGCAUUUGUUGGUGUUAGGCUCCAACCUGUAAAAGUAUUUUGAGGACAUUUUUAGGAAACAUAUCUAUCAAGACUAUUAUGUAAAAGAAGAGGCUUUGCUAAUCCUCAUCGUUUUCUCUCCUUAUCUUUUGCAUUCUGUCAUUGUCACACGCAUUGAUGCUCUUUUUGGGAGGUGAACUUAGAGAGAAGUAGAUUGCCUUAAGCAGGGGAGAAGGUGCGGACCUUUGGUAAGAGAAGAGUCUGGAGAAGAUAAAAUAGAAGAAGCAGUCGUUAAGCUUCAAAUACCGGUGUGGUGCUGGCCGAAGGCUCUCCGAUGCUUAAGUCAGCUAGGAGUAGUAAAAUUGGUAGGGUAACAGUAAAAGUGAGAGAGAAGUUACCCUUUUUACUUGGGUAUUGUUCCCUAUUUAUAGAGAGGUGAAAGUGGGAGGUUUGCACAAAGUUUCGAUGUGGGACUUUGUGCAAGUCACUGUGGUGGUGACACGUGUGCUGGAGAUUAGGUUCGGCAGUCGGGAGCUUCAGCAGGUGCUUGGUACCUCAGAAAAAUGUCUUCCUUCGGCAGGGAAGAAGGCGUGUCUGCCUUUGGUGCUAGUCGCUUUGAGGCUGGAUAUGCUCGGUUGAUUAUUGUGUAAACAACAUAUAUUGGCUAGAAAAAAUAAUCUUCCAGUCACUUUGCAGAUUACUUAGUCCCAAUUAGUUACUUGACGUUGGAAACCUCCUGAGGGGGAUUUGCUAAAAUUAAUUGUUGAUGGCAUGUUGUGUGGCUGAUAGAAAGAUGGGGUAGUAGUCCGAAAUGCCAAUGAAGAAUUAAUGGAUGCCAUGGCUAAACUUGUAAUUGGCUGUCUUUACCUAAGGCUUUUGAAGCCUAGGUUGUCAUAUGACAUUAGAUGCAGGGUUCACAAGGUUGAUUAUUGAAAGUGAUUGUUUGGAGGUGAUUAAGGCCAUGAACCGAACUGAAUUUGACAUGAGCACUCGUUCAUGUAAUUUUGUGGCUCCCCAAUUAGCCAAAUUUGCUUAAUCUUGUAAUGAGACAUGUUAUUGGAUUGAAGGGGGCCUAGUUGGCUUCACUCUUACCUUCA